GAUGAAGAACGCAGCGAAAUGCGAUAAGUAGUGUGAAUUGCAGAAUUCAGUGAAUCAUCGAAUCUUUGAACGCACAUUGCGCCCCUUGGUAUCCCGAGGGGCAUGCCUGUUCGAGCGUCAUUUCACCACUCAAGCCUGGCUUGGUGUUGGGCGACGUCCCCUUUUGGGACGCGCCUCGAAACGCUCGGCGGCGUGGCACCGGCUUUAAGCGUAGCAGAAUCUUUCGCUUUGGAAGUCGGGGCCCCGUCUGCCGGAAGACCUACUCGCAAGGUUGACCUCGGAUCAGGCAGGGAUACCCGCUGAACUUAAGCAUAUCAAUAAGCGGAGGA
RNAcentral lists this unclassified non-coding RNA (329 nucleotides) under soil metagenome. RNAcentral's name for it is "partial contains 5.8S ribosomal RNA, internal transcribed spacer 2, and large subunit ribosomal RNA". The stretch from base 1 to 120 matches the Rfam family "5.8S ribosomal RNA", at positions 35 to 154 of the family's 154-position model. The record is from RNAcentral.